Molecule: long non-coding RNA, 283 nt
Organism: Zalophus californianus (California sea lion)
Lineage: Eukaryota; Metazoa; Chordata; Mammalia; Carnivora; Otariidae
Exons: 3
Source: RefSeq, a predicted model, not a curated record
GCCUGACUCUGUUUGGAGCAGAACACAUAAGAGAUGCAAACCUCUGCAUUUCCAGUGUGUCAGAGACCCACCAUGUCCUCAACACUUGCAGGAUUGAAAUGAGACUAAGACUCGAUUCUGCUGCAGAGCUUAUCUGCCGUAUGUUUUAACAUCUCCUGUGAGCUAACAUUGGCAUUCUCCAUGAGAAGAGGCAACAUUAAUAGUGGACAACAGUUUUGGCAUCUCUCCAAUUCAGCUCUCAGUGUUCUCUUGUGACUGCUUCAUAGGUAGCAGUUUUGGCUAC